CGAAGAGCCUGCAAAAUUACUCAC
Molecule: non-coding RNA, 24 nt
Filed under: Arabidopsis thaliana (thale cress)
Lineage: Eukaryota; Viridiplantae; Streptophyta; Magnoliopsida; Brassicales; Brassicaceae
Source: RNAcentral